RNAcentral lists this ribosomal RNA (546 nucleotides) under uncultured Acidobacteriota bacterium. Its description in RNAcentral is "bacterial SSU rRNA". It matches the Rfam family "Bacterial small subunit ribosomal RNA", at positions 38 to 618 of the family's 1533-position model. The record is from RNAcentral. Lineage: Bacteria; Pseudomonadati; Acidobacteriota.
GGCGGCGCGCUUAACACAUGCAAGUCGCACGAGAAAGGGAGCAAUCCUAAGUAAAGUGGCGCACGGGUGAGUAACACGUGGAUCAUCUACCUUUUAGUGGGGAAUACCUCUGGGAAACCGGAGACAAUACCGCAUAAGCCCGCAAGGGGAAAGCAGCAAUGCGCUGAAAGAGGAGUCCGCGGCCGAUUAGCUAGUUGGCGGGGUAAUGGCCCACCAAGGCGAAGAUCGGUAGCCGGCCUGAGAGGGCACACGGCCACACUGGCACUGAAACACGGGCCAGACUCCUACGGGAGGCAGCAGUGGGGAAUCUUGCACAAUGGACGAAAGUCUGAUGCAGCGACGCCGCGUGAGCGAUGAAGCCCUUCGGGGUGUAAAGCUCUUUCGACGGGAACGAUAAUGACGGUACCCGGAGAAGAAGCUGCGGCUAACUACGUGCCAGCAGCCGCGGUAAUACGUAGGCAGCGAGCGUUGUUCAGAAUUACUGGGCGUAAAGAGUGUGUAGGCGGUGUUCCCAGUCUGUUGUGAAAUCUCCCGGCUUAACUGGGA